GGAGAGAUGGCUCAGUGGUUAAGAUCAUUGACUGCUCUUCCAGAGGUCCUGAGUUCAAUUCUCAGCAACCACA
RNAcentral lists this transfer RNA (73 nucleotides) under Mus musculus (house mouse). RNAcentral describes it as "tRNA-Ser". Lineage: Eukaryota; Metazoa; Chordata; Mammalia; Rodentia; Muridae. The record is from RNAcentral.